AUUGAACGCUGGCGGCAUGCUUUACACAUGCAAGUCGAGCGGCAGCGCGGGGGCAACCCUGGCGGCGAGCGGCGAACGGGUGAGUAAUGCAUCGGAACGUGUCCCGUAAUGGGGGAUAAC
This 120-nucleotide ribosomal RNA is filed under the name uncultured bacterium. Its description in RNAcentral is "partial 16S ribosomal RNA". It matches the Rfam family "Bacterial small subunit ribosomal RNA", at positions 30 to 147 of the family's 1533-position model. The record is from RNAcentral.